Molecule: ribosomal RNA, 253 nt
Filed under: uncultured bacterium
Lineage: Bacteria
Description: partial 16S ribosomal RNA
Rfam family: Bacterial small subunit ribosomal RNA
Source: RNAcentral
GACGUAGGGCGCGAGCGUUGUCCGGAUUUAUUGGGCGUAAAGGGUGCGUAGGCGGUCGGGUAAGUCUGGCGUGAAAUCUCCAAGCCUAACUUGGAAACUGCGUUGGAUACUAUCCGGCUCGAGGACUGGAGGGGAGACUGGAAUACUUGGUGUAGCAGUGAAAUGCGUAGAUAUCAAGUGGAACACCAGUGGCGAAGGCGAGUCUCUGGACAUUUACUGACGCUGAGGCACGAAAGCCAGGGGAGCAAACGGG